This 243-nucleotide ribosomal RNA is filed under the name uncultured Actinomycetales bacterium. Its description in RNAcentral is "partial 16S ribosomal RNA". It matches the Rfam family "Bacterial small subunit ribosomal RNA", at positions 88 to 334 of the family's 1533-position model. The record is from RNAcentral. Lineage: Bacteria; Bacillati; Actinomycetota; Actinomycetes; Actinomycetales.
UACUCGAGUGGCGAACGGGUGAGUAACACGUGGGUGAUCUGCCCUGCACUCUGGGAUAAGCCUGGGAAACUGGGUCUAAUACCGGAUAGGACCAUGCUUUAGUGUGUGUGGUGGAAAGUUUUUUCGGUGUAGGAUGAGCCCGCGGCCUAUCAGCUUGUUGGUGGGGUAAUGGCCUACCAAGGCGGCGACGGGUAGCCGGACUGAGAGGUCGGUCGGCCACAUUGGGACUGAGAUACGGCCCAG